Molecule: long non-coding RNA, 392 nt
Organism: Canis lupus familiaris (dog)
Lineage: Eukaryota; Metazoa; Chordata; Mammalia; Carnivora; Canidae
Exons: 3
Source: RefSeq, a predicted model, not a curated record
UCCUUGCACAAAUGGACAUUGAGAUGAGACAUCCAGACAAGCGUGGAAAAUGGCACCUUGUCCCUGUCACAGCUGCAGUGAGUAGAGAGCCCUGAGAAAGUCUGCAGUCCUAGGUUAUUCCCCUGAGCAUGAGAGCUCUGCAUCUGAGGCCAACCAAACCACAGUGUUGUUUAGAAUCAGAAAAAUCAGAUUACUUUGGGAAGUCAUUGCUGGCAAAUCAAUUUGUGAAGCUGUUUUGGACAUUAUCCAGAUGUUAAUAAAUGGGUGAUCUUUCCCAUCAAGAUAUUGUGUUUUACAAAUUCAAGAUUUGUGGCAACCCUUACAUACAGCGAGUCGACCAGGCCCAGUUUUCCUACAGCAUUUGUUCACCUUCUGUUUCUUGUCACAUUUUG